UUAUCUUUAUCAUAUGGCAGCUGUGACGUUCCAUAAAUAAACAUGCAUGUAAAUGCAUAUGGUCUUUUUUCAAUGGCAUUAGAUAUAAAAAAAAAUUAAAAAAUAAGAUGUGGUAAGAUUGCCAAUGAGACAUAUCCUCAUUUGUAGAUAUACUGUAUGAAUAUAGGGAAAAUACAGUUAUUUAAAGGAAGAUACAAAAACUAUUCAUCCGCAUUAAGGAAUAAUAAUAAAGAUGCAAAAGUGCAUGAUAUUAGCAAUUUUCCAUGAAUUUAACAAAAUAUGUCAAAUGGUGCGGCGGCAGUAACAUAUAAAAGUGAAACAGUAGAACGUAUAAACACGAACAUAUGAAUGACGAUUGAUCACUAUAUACCUCGUUCAUUUAACAAAUGUUAAUAAUGUUUGAAACUACAUAUUAACGAAUCCAAUGAUCUCAUAGUUACA
RNAcentral lists this long non-coding RNA (441 nucleotides) under Mytilus galloprovincialis (Mediterranean mussel). Lineage: Eukaryota; Metazoa; Mollusca; Bivalvia; Mytilida; Mytilidae. The record is from RNAcentral.